Molecule: unclassified non-coding RNA, 1221 nt
Filed under: Hevea brasiliensis (rubber tree)
Lineage: Eukaryota; Viridiplantae; Streptophyta; Magnoliopsida; Malpighiales; Euphorbiaceae
Source: RNAcentral
GAGAGAGAGAUAGAGAGAGAGAGAUGGGGAGGAGUCCAUGUUGCUCCAAGGAAGGACUCAACCGAGGAGCCUGGACGGCCAUGGAAGACAAAAUUCUUACAGCUUACAUUAAAGCCCAUGGAGAAGGCAAAUGGAGAAACCUUCCCAAGAGAGCUGGUUUGAAGAGAUGUGGUAAGAGUUGUAGACUUAGAUGGUUGAAUUAUUUGAGACCAGACAUCAAGAGAGGUAACAUAUCCCAUGAUGAAGAAGAACUCAUUAUUAGGCUCCAUAAGCUUCUUGGUAACAGAUGGUCUCUAAUAGCUGGAAGGCUACCUGGGCGAACAGACAAUGAAAUCAAGAACUAUUGGAACACUACUCUGGGAAAGAAAGCUAAUGCUCAAUCAACUUCACCACAAUCCAAGCACACUACUGCUACCAACUCUAGACAGAAAAAGCUAGCCACUGAAUCCUCAAACUCACCACUCCCAGCCAAAGUCAUCCGCACUAAGGCCACUAGGUGCACCAAAGUCUUUAUCCCAUUACAGUCUCCCCAUCCACCCCCUGAAUUUCACUCCUUCAACCCAACAGCCAGUGACCCCCCAGCUCAAACUUCCUUCCCAAAUCAUCCUAGUCAAGAGUUCGAUUCUUCUGAUCAACUACUCCACUGUGGAACAUUCACUAAUGAGGAACUCCAGAGUUGCCAUCAUGAUGAUGAUUUAGAUUUCUUGAAUCUUGAUUGCCAUGAAUUUCAAGCAAGCGAUGGAGAUGCUGCCCCAGUGGACUAUAAUUACAAGGAGAAUUUGUCCUCGGGUCAUGAUCAUCACCGGUCCCUACCCAUGGAGGGGCCGCCUGUGUUCAACGAUUGGGCCACCAGUGCCUGUUUCGAGGACAGCGCCAAUUUGGACCUAGAUUCCCUAUCAUUUUUCCUUGAUUCUGAGGAAUGGCCACUACAAUAAUAUAUAACUACAGAGCGAGAAAAUCUUAUUAAUAAUAUAUGGGAAAAUAAAAAGUAAAUUUGUGAAUAAAUAACUAUAUAUUUCACUUGUUGCGUAUCAUGAGUGACUCCUGUAGAAUUUGAAGUAAUUAACUAUUAGCAAGCUUGUUGAUGCUGAUAAAUUACUGUUAAUGUUUUAUGCGCAAGAUUUUUUUUUCUUUCUGCUGUUAACACUUAAUCUAAUGAAAUUUUAGAAUAAUAAUUAUAGACACCAUAUUUUGGUCGACCCUCAAAUGCAUAACUUAAUA